CUGGUUGAUCCUGCCGGCGGCCACCGCUAUUGGAAUUCGAUUAAGACAUGCGAGUCGAGAGUCGUAAGGACUCGGCGGACCGCUCAGUAACACGCGGAUAACAUGCCCUUAGGUGGAGGAUAAUCUCGGAAAACUGAGGAUAAUACUCCAUAGAUCUACUAUGCUGGAAUGCUUGUAGGUCCAAAACUCCGGUGCCUAAGGAUUGGUCUGCGGCGUAUCAGGUCGUAGUGGGUGUAACGGACCCACUAGCCGAUGACGCGUAAGGGCCUUGAGAGAGGGAGCCCUGAGAUGGACUCUGAGACAUGAGUCCAGGCCCUACGGGGCGCAGCAGUCGCGAAAACUUCACAAUGGGGGAAACCCCGAUGAGGGAAUUCCAAGUGUCAGCACAUUGUGUUGACUGUUCCCCUGUCUAAAAAACAGGAGAAGUAAGGGCCGGGUAAGACGGGUGCCAGCCGCCGCGGUAAUACCCGCGGCCCGAGUGGUGGUCGAUAUUAUUGAGCCUAAAACGUUCGUAGCCGGUCUUGUAAAUCCUUGGGUAAAUCGGCCAGCUUAACUGUCCGAAGUCCGGGGAGACUGCAAGACUUGGGAUCGGGAGAGGUCAGAGGUACUUCUGGGGUAGGGGUAAAAUCCUGUAAUCCUAGAAGGACCACCGGUGGCGAAGGCGUCUGACUAGAACGAAUUCGACGGUGAGGAACGAAGCCCUGGGGCGCAAACGGGAUUAGAUACCCCGGUAGUCCAGGGUGUAAACGCUGCGGGCUUGGUGUUGGGGGUCCUUAGUGGGCGCCCAGUGCCGGAGAGAAGUUGUUAAGCCUGCUGCUUGGGGAGUAUGUCCGCAAGGAUGAAACUUAAAGGAAUUGGCGGGGGAGCACCGCAACGGGAGGAGCGUGCGGUUCAAUUGGAUUCAACGCCGGG
Molecule: ribosomal RNA, 912 nt
Filed under: uncultured archaeon
Lineage: Archaea
Description: bacterial SSU rRNA
Rfam family: Archaeal small subunit ribosomal RNA
Source: RNAcentral